GUGGGUAUGGUUCAGUGGUAGAGCAUGUGCUUAGCAUGCAUGAGGCCUUGGGUUCAGUUCCCAGUAUCAAAA
RNAcentral lists this transfer RNA (72 nucleotides) under Ictidomys tridecemlineatus (thirteen-lined ground squirrel). Its description in RNAcentral is "Spermophilus tridecemlineatus (thirteen-lined ground squirrel) tRNA". It matches the Rfam family "tRNA". Rfam says of the family: Transfer RNA (tRNA) molecules are approximately 80 nucleotides in length. Lineage: Eukaryota; Metazoa; Chordata; Mammalia; Rodentia; Sciuridae. The record is from Rfam by way of RNAcentral.